CCGACUUCACACUGGAAAUUCUCUCCCGACAAUCGAUAAUCAUCAAGAGAAUUUUACGUAGCUGGCAGACCUCGGAGAGCCUUACAGGGCAUUUUGUCCAGAGUUUCUCAACCUAUUUAAAGCCCCAACCCUCCCCCUAAUCUCAGACCCUGGGAUUUCAGCUAUCCCCACUUCCCCUGGGAGUGGGGGAGGUUUGCCCUGCCUAAGAAUUCGCUGGGCUUCCAUGGCGCUCUCCCAGCCAUGGAGGUUAUAUCAUUGAGCUUUACUCGCUGUGGUCUGAAUUACAAGAACAACAGGCACUUAAUUUUAGUUUCCCAACUAUGAAAUUAUGACACUAAAUAUGCUUUCUCUGGCUGCAUGAGCCCACCCUCAGCACUCUGACAGAUCCCUUAAGUGCUCUGCCAUCCCAAGGGGGUAAUUAUGGUUUUCUUCUUCUUAAAGUGGUUUUCACGAAAGAGCCAGGCUGAAAGGGGGCCCCCUUCAGUGGGAUGAGGGCCAACCAUGCCUGUCCAUUUAGGAUUUUACGUGUAGAGCUUACAUGCAGGCUCCAGCCCCCAUCUCCUAUCCUGUGGUCUAGCCUGCUUACUCUAUGUUCUUUCAUGUGCACAUUUGCAGGCCUCAAGAUCCCAUCCUUUUUAUUGUUAUUUUGUUCAUAAAGGGUGGUGAAAAGAGCACUGGACUGAGGGUCAGGAGCCUAGGGUCUAGGCCCUUAGAUUUCAACAAGCUGUGUGACUUUGGGUCCAUUCCUUGGCCUCUCUGGGCCUCAAUUUCUUCUUCUAGGAAAUGGAGAUGAUCAUUCUCUCACCUCUCUUGCCUCAUGGGCAUGGGUAAUUGUGAGGGUCAGCUGAGAUCAUACUGGGUGGGGACAGAGGGCACUCUGAAAUUGGUGAAUCUUGUUCAAAGGGGAGAGAAGAAAACUGAUGGGAGUUUUCUGGCCACUGCAUUUGGGGCAGUUUCCACUUCUCUCUGUUAAUCACCCUGCCAGAAACUUCUUUGCACAAAUCACCCAUUUCCAACAGGCACAUUUCCAAUGGAAUGCUGGGGUCCCAGGGCCAGGAAAAGUUUGAGAGCUGCCUCUGUCUGGGUUUUUGCUGACAGUUCUCUCCAGAAGGACAAAAUCAGGGAAUGGCCUGAACUCCAAAGCUUUUGGCUCCGCGAGCAAGUUCUGUCAUGAAGCAGCCUCCCCUCAAGGCCCCUGCCUCUAGGGGAGCCUGGGAGCUGUCACACGGGGACCCCUCUGGCUGGUGAGACAGUUGCCCCUUUCCUAUGACAGGCCGACCAGAUGCCACAUGACAGAUGCAAUGGGCAGAUCGCAGCCCCGGGUCCAGCUGGACUGUAUCACGUCAGCAGGGCAACAUCCCGCUCCGUGACCCGCCACAGGGGUGUGUGCGGCCUGUCACAGCUGGAAAAUCAGACCCCCCCCCCCCCCCAUUCAGGAGAGGUCUACACAGAAAGGCAUUGGCCCCUCCCCCAGAGUAUUAACACAAGAGUAACAUGCAAUGGCCGUGCCAGACUUUUUCCUUGGGGAUCAGGGUCCUCUGAAGGGCCAGCAGCUUAUUUGGCUUUUGCCAUUUAGAGCAGGGGCUGAGCUCUGGGGUUAGAACCAAGCUGGCCUCAGCCACUCUCCAGCUCUGUGACUCUGAGCGAGGUUCUCUGAGCCACAUUUGUCUCCACAUUGAGAUGUUGGCAGGAUGGCUGGCAUAAGGUGUGCAGUGCUGGCCCACUGUGAGGCAGGCUAGUGAACUCACAGGGCCCUGCUCAGUGGGACCCAGGAGAAGGGUGGCGGGUGCCUCCCACCAAUGCCCCAGGCAGAUUUCUGUGCACCCCACUUCUCAGCCUCUCAGCAUGGCUGCUGUGACUCCCGUACAGCAGUCCUCCCGGAAACCUCUGGGCUCAGGAUGAUCUGGACACACAAGAGGAGGCAAGAGAAGAAGAUUGGCACAAUCCAGCCUGUUGGACAUUGUGGACAUGUUUCCCUUUCUCAUCUGCAUCUGCUUUAAUGGGGUAAAUUCUCAGAAUUGCUGAGUCAAGUUUUUUGACUGUCCAAUCGGCCCUUCCCGCCAGCCAGAUUUGAGAAGGAUCAUUUCCUGCAUCUUUGCUCACUCCAGGUAUUAUAGUUUUUUAAAAUCUUCACGAGUUUAAUAAGUAAAAGGAUAUCUAGCUAUUUUUAUUUUGCAAAUCUGUUCUUGCAGAACCUCAAGGAGUAGAUGCAGGUAUAAAAUAGAUGAGAGGGUGGGGAGAUGGGCAAAAUGGGUGAAGAGGAGUGGGAGAUACAGGCUUCCAGUUAUGAAAUGAGUAAGUCAUGGGAAUAAAGGGCACAGGGUAAGGA
Molecule: long non-coding RNA, 2329 nt
Organism: Mirounga angustirostris (Northern elephant seal)
Lineage: Eukaryota; Metazoa; Chordata; Mammalia; Carnivora; Phocidae
Exons: 3
Source: RefSeq, a predicted model, not a curated record